This is a long non-coding RNA of Stegodyphus dumicola, 716 nucleotides long. NCBI's taxonomy places the organism in Eukaryota, Metazoa, Arthropoda, Arachnida, Araneae, Eresidae. The record is from RefSeq and is a predicted model, not a curated record.
GCCAUCAAUAGAUGGCGCUACGAGUUAAAAUUUAGCUUUGUAAUCUUAUUUCUGCAAAAAUUCACGAAGUAAUUGAUUUUGAUAUCAGUUAUAAAUCAUAUUUUUUUCUAAAUAAUAUUUAGAAGCGUUUCAUAUAUUCCUUUAUACACAGUUUUCACUAAACAGUGUCAGCUGUCAGCGGAAUGACGUUUACGGCAACCCUAUUGCAUUGCUAUUCCGCACUCGUUUUGUUUACAUUUAUUUGUACUGUGGUCAGUUAGCAAAAAAAUAUGCGAAAAUAUCAAGGACGACAGAAAAAAUCCAGAAUUCAGCGAAAACGUCGAGCUCAAGAAAAAAAUAUGAAAUUAAAUUCCCGAGAUGUGGAAGAUUCCGAACAAGCGGAUGUUUUCGAAAGGUGAGAAAUAAUUUAUUCUUUAUAUCGACUACCUCGCGUUUAUGAUUUCGUAGUAAGUUAAUUCCGAAGUAAAAUAUGCGUAUUUUUUUUUAUUGAAGGUCAGAAAUUAUUGAUACAACUGCAUCUGUGUCAAAGGAGAAUCAUUGCCCGGAUGAUUUUUUUUUACAAAGUCUGGAAGUGAAAAAUUUGACUUUUCUACGCCAGAAGUUACAGCUAAUGUUCCUAAGACAAACCAGGCUUUCUUGAGUUCUGAUCUGGACAUUUCAGUUAUUGACUCUGACGUAGAAGGUAGAAAUACAAGCUCUCUCUUUUGGAGGUAAAU